This 253-nucleotide ribosomal RNA is filed under the name uncultured bacterium. RNAcentral describes it as "partial 16S ribosomal RNA". It matches the Rfam family "Bacterial small subunit ribosomal RNA", at positions 524 to 776 of the family's 1533-position model. The record is from RNAcentral.
UACGAAGGGGGCGAGCGUUGUUCGGAUUUACUGGGCGUAAAGGGCGCGCAGGCGGCUCAUUUUGUCAGGCGUGAAAGCCCGAGGCUCAACCUCGGAACUGCCUUCGAUACUGCGGGUCUCGAGUCCGGGAGAGGUGAGUGGAAUUCCUAGUGUAGAGGUGAAAUUCGUAGAUAUUAGGAAGAACACCAGUGGCGAAGGCGGCUCACUGGCUCGGUACUGACGCUGAGGCGCGAAAGCGUGGGGAGCAAACGGG